GAAAGCAGGCCUUAGUGAUCCGGCGGUGGAGAGUGGAAUCGCCGUCGCUCAACGGAUAAAAGGUACUCCGGGGAUAACAGGCUUAUCGGGCCCAAGAGUCCACAUCGACGGCCCGGUUUGGCACCUCAAUCAUCUGGGGUGGGCCGGCAGAGAUGCCGGUCUAGCAUCGGCUUAUAACGGUGGAGCCCAGGCCUGUGUGUGCACCAUCCGAAUGGCGCACUAACAUGGGUAAUACCGUGGGAAGUCUGUCGGAAGUGCAGCACGCGAUCGUCGUCGGGAGUCUUCUCGGCGACGGGAGCAUGCGCUGCAAGACCAACGCGCUUCUUGAGAUCAAUCACUCGUAUCACCAGGCGGCAUAUGUGCAAUGGAAGUAUCAACACCUGGCCGAUCUGGUUCGAACACCACCCAAGCUGCGAAGGGGAAACGGGCACCGCGUUGCGUGUCGCUUCGUGACGCGUAGCGUUCCGGCUCUUACCUCCUACUUCCGCCUCUUUUACCGGGAUGGGAGGAAGCGGGUUCCCCGCGUGGAGCUGACUCCACUUUCGCUUGCGGUGUGGUUCAUGGACGACGGGUGUCGGUCGCGAGGUGCGGUGUACCUGAAUACGCAGCAGUUCGACGUCGAGUGCCAGGAGAGGCUUUUGCAGCUGCUCCACGAGCAGUGGGGCAUCGGCGGAACGCUCAAUCGCGACAAGUCGUACCGGCGCGUUCGGCUGUCGGUGGAAGGAACGGUUCGACUGGUCGGGAUCAUUGAACCGUUCAUUAUCAAUGAGCUCAGGUACAAACUUCCGUAAGUGACCCCGUAACGACUGAGGCCGCAAGGCCGAGGUGGCGGUCCGCUCGUGAUUCGAGCAAUCUAUGGUCGCCACAACACGCCGACCCCUCGCUCUUUGGUCGGGCAGGGUGGAGAUAUAGUCUGCGCUGCCGGUAACGGCAGAGUUACGCGCGAUGUCGGCUCGUCGCAUCCUGGGGCCGGAGUAGGUCCCAAGGGUUGGGCUGUUCGCCCAUUAAAGCGGUACGCGAGCUGGGUUCAGAACGUCGUGAGACAGUUCGGUCCCUAUCCGCCAUGGGCGCUGGGAGCUUGAGAGGAGUCGUCCCUAGUACGAGAGGACCGGGACGAACAGGCCUCUGGUGUAUCAGUCGUCGUGCCAACGGCGCUGCUGAUUAGCCACGCCUGGACGGGAUAACCGCUGAAAGCAUCUAAGCGGGAAGCCCACCUCGAGAUGAGGCUCCCCAUCCCCUCGAGGGAGUAAGGGCCGUGGGAGACCACCACGUCGAUAGGCGGGACGUGUAAGCGCGGCAACGCGUUCAGCGGACCCGUACUAAUUGCCCGAGGUCUUGAUUUC
Molecule: ribosomal RNA, 1343 nt
Filed under: Actinomycetota bacterium
Lineage: Bacteria; Bacillati; Actinomycetota
Description: partial 23S ribosomal RNA
Rfam family: Bacterial large subunit ribosomal RNA
Source: RNAcentral